Molecule: transfer RNA, 22 nt
Filed under: Rhineura floridana
Lineage: Eukaryota; Metazoa; Chordata; Lepidosauria; Squamata; Rhineuridae
Description: partial tRNA-Leu
Source: RNAcentral
CUUUAAAGGAAACUAGAAACCC